RNAcentral lists this long non-coding RNA (838 nucleotides) under Gallus gallus (chicken). Lineage: Eukaryota; Metazoa; Chordata; Aves; Galliformes; Phasianidae. The record is from RNAcentral.
GAGGAGGGGGGGAAGGAGAAAGGGCGGAGCUGCGGUGUUGCCGUGGUAACGAGGAGCGGUAUGGGGAGCGGGGGGGGGGGAGAGGGCCGCUAUGGGGCGGCUGUGGGGGCCGGGAGGGCUGUAGAGCCAAUGGGAGACGUAUAGGGCACACUGGGGCGGCCAUAGGGGGCUAUGGGGGAGAGAGAGGGAAUUAUGGGGCGGCUAUAGGGGGCAGGAGGGCUAUGGGGCGGAUAUGGGGUGGCUGUAGGGGGCAGGAGGACUAUAGGGGUGCCAUAGAGUGGAUAUAGGGGAUAUAUGGGGGGCCUUAGAGCGGCUAUAGACGAGGGGAGGGCCAUAGGGGAGACAUGGAGCGCUAUGGGGCAGACACGGGAGGCCUGUAGGGUGCUAUGGGGCGGCUGUGGGGAAUGGGAACGCUGUAGGGGAGAUAUAUGGGGGUACGGGUCAGAUAUGGGGCGGAUAUGGGCAGGCGUGGGGGAAGGCAGGGCUAUGGGGGACGUGCAGGGCGCUAUAGGGUCGCUGUACCCCCCCAUAUAGAAGCACAGUACCUAUGGGUGCCCACAGUCUAUAGGUACUCCUAAUGGGUGUGUGUGGGGGGGAGGGGUUAAUUAGCGUCCCCUCAUUACUUUCACCCCUCAUUAAGGCCUCUUUCCCACCACAGGACUGGCUCAUACCACGAGUGACCACCCCCACACACACACUCUUAAUUAACACAGCCCUGUUAAUUCCCACCAUGCCAAGCCCUCACCAACACCCACCUUGGGCCACCUCCUUUACCCCCCCCCUUAAUUAACCAAGGCCCAUUAAGGACCCCCCCCCAAUUAACCAGGCCCCAUUAAGG